GGUUCGGUGGUGUAGUUGGUUAUCACGUCAGUCUCACAGUUCUCCUCAUACCUUUACGACGAGCGCACUGAAGGUCCCCGGUUCGAACCCGGGCCGAACCA
Non-coding RNA from Coniella lustricola, 101 nucleotides. The record is from the annotation of a GenBank genome assembly. Lineage: Eukaryota; Fungi; Ascomycota; Sordariomycetes; Diaporthales; Schizoparmaceae.